GAUUAAUGAACUUGUUAAAGUAAUUGUUUUGAAAACAAUAUAAAGAAGAAUAACCUUCUAUUAAUUU
This 67-nucleotide transfer RNA is filed under the name Mongoloraphidia harmandi. RNAcentral describes it as "tRNA-Ser". Lineage: Eukaryota; Metazoa; Arthropoda; Insecta; Raphidioptera; Raphidiidae. The record is from RNAcentral.